UUUAUUGGAGAGUUUGAUCCUGGCUCAGGACGAACGCUGGCGGCAUGCCUAAUACAUGCAAGUCGAGCGGACU
RNAcentral lists this ribosomal RNA (73 nucleotides) under Paenibacillus taichungensis. Its description in RNAcentral is "partial 16S ribosomal RNA". It matches the Rfam family "Bacterial small subunit ribosomal RNA", at positions 1 to 72 of the family's 1533-position model. Lineage: Bacteria; Bacillati; Bacillota; Bacilli; Caryophanales; Paenibacillaceae. The record is from RNAcentral.